RNAcentral lists this unclassified non-coding RNA (373 nucleotides) under uncultured bacterium. RNAcentral describes it as "contains 16S-23S intergenic spacer region". The record is from RNAcentral.
UCCGGCUUAUCACCGGCAGUCCCACUAGAGUGCCCAACUAAAUGCUGGCAACUAAUGGCGAGGGUUGCGCUCGUUGCGCCACUUAAGGCAACACCUCACGGCACGAGCUGACGACAGCCAUGCAGCACCUGUGCGGGCUCCCGAAGGAGGACCGUGUUUCCACGGCUUCACCCCGCAUGUCAAGCCCUGGUAAGGUUCUUCGCGUUGCGUCGAAUUAAGCCACAUGCUCCGCCGCUUGUGCGGGCCCCCGUCAAUUCCUUUGAGUUUCAGCCUUGCGACUGUACUCCCCAGGCGGCAUAUUUAACGCGUUAGCUCCGGCACAGACAGAAUGAACUGCCCACACCAAAUAUCCAUCAUUUAGGGCGUGGACUAC